CUGUGUUGCUGCCAUCACCAGGGUGAGAAGCGGGAGCUGCUGCCCACUGUGAGAAGCAUCACACCCACGGGAAGGGGUGGUGCCACAUGCUGCCAGGGAGUUACGGGCUGGCUUGUGAUGGUCCUUAUGGUGCCGCAGUGGACAAUCGAGAAUCGGGCUAAGGUGACCAGUUCUGCACAGACUUCUGCUUUCCCAUGUUCACAGAAGCA
Molecule: long non-coding RNA, 209 nt
Filed under: Fukomys damarensis (Damara mole-rat)
Lineage: Eukaryota; Metazoa; Chordata; Mammalia; Rodentia; Bathyergidae
Description: lncRNA (ENSFDAG00000022951.1)
Source: RNAcentral